CCCACCGUGGAGGACACAACAGACCCAGGGAGGUGGAGACAAGCGCCCUGAGGGCCUCGUCUGUGCGGCUGCCGUGCCCGAGACUGAGCUCCGUGGGGACUGAAAGAUGUCGAAACAUUCCCUUCUGCCCCUAAAUAACCUUCGGUCUCCUGAGGGAGGUGCCUUGGGCAUCAAUACCUGGAAUGAAAGCAGAGGGAGUGACGCGGCCACCCCGAGGCCACGCUGCGAGGCAGGACAACUGCUGCUGGGCUCACAGACAAACCGGCUUGUCCAAUGGAAUUUAUGGAAACUCAUCAGGACGGACCUUCUGGAUUCCUGAAAUACUCACACCCCGCCCGUUCUUCCCCAAGUGGCCUCAAAUCAGCACCAGAUUGCAAAGGAGGAGGGCUUAUCAGCAACACUCAUGAGUCAGCCGGCCGCUGGAUACCCAGUAAUUACCUAACAACAGCAG
Molecule: long non-coding RNA, 451 nt
Organism: Artibeus jamaicensis (Jamaican fruit-eating bat)
Lineage: Eukaryota; Metazoa; Chordata; Mammalia; Chiroptera; Phyllostomidae
Exons: 3
Source: RefSeq, a predicted model, not a curated record